AGUGAACGCCGGCGGUAAGCCUAACACAUGCAAGUCGAACGGCAGCACAGUAAGAGCUUGCUCUUACGGGUGGCGAGUGGCGGACGGGUGAGGAAUACAUCGGAAUCUACUUUUUCGUGGGGGAUAACGUAGGGAAACUUACGCUAAUACCGCAUACGACCUACGGGUGAAAGCAGGGGAUCUUCGGACCUUGCGCGAUUGAAUGAGCCGAUGUCGGAUUAGCUAGUUGGCGGGGUAAAGGCCCACCAAGGCGACGAUCCGUAGCUGGUCUGAGAGGAUGAUCAGCCACACUGGAACUGAGACACGGUCCAGACUCCUACGGGAGGCAGCAGUGGGGAAUAUUGGACAAUGGGCGCAAGCCUGAUCCAGCCAUACCGCGUGGGUGAAGAAGGCCUUCGGGUUGUAAAGCCCUUUUGUUGGGAAAGAAAAGCAGCAGGUUAAUACCCCGCUGUUCUGACGGUACCCAAAGAAUAAGCACCGGCUAACUUCGUG
Molecule: ribosomal RNA, 492 nt
Filed under: uncultured bacterium
Lineage: Bacteria
Description: partial 16S ribosomal RNA
Rfam family: Bacterial small subunit ribosomal RNA
Source: RNAcentral